RNAcentral lists this long non-coding RNA (5353 nucleotides) under Sus scrofa (pig). Its description in RNAcentral is "lncRNA (ENSSSCG00025046873.1)". Lineage: Eukaryota; Metazoa; Chordata; Mammalia; Artiodactyla; Suidae. The record is from RNAcentral.
GCCGCCGCGGAGCGCGGGCGCCCUCGUGAGGCUGGGCUGCGUCGCCAGCGGCAGCGUGAAGCGGGCAGCCCGGUCUGCGCCGGGGCCUGGGCCUGGAGUCCGGUGUGGUCGGGCGUUCGACUCGCGCGACUCCCCGCCCGAGGGCCCACCGGGCUCCGGCUGGAAGCCGCCCAGGGUGCGGCAGCGAAACUUCGGCCCGGUUGCAACCACAGUGGCGUUUAGGCCGGACGCUCUUGCUCCCGUUUCACGGAGCGGUCGAAAUCCGUAGACGUUUCUAAUGCGUUCUACCGGUAGCCCAGCCCUCUUCGUCCUCAGCCUCUAUUCGUGCUCACUUUUCUCCCAGGCAGGUAGCUCCAGGGGCCUCCUGUCUCUCUCCUCCCCACCCUAUCCCGUUUUCCCUUGAGCAUCCCCUGCUGCUUGCCAGGUGUGCCUUUAGUGAGAACCCGAUCUUUCCAGCACUUUUUUUCCUGCUGGUGAAGACAAACCCACAUGCUUUUAGUUUUCAGGGUUUUGUUAUCGAUCAGUUUCAUCCAUAGGUAGUGCUUACAUAGCACGUGCUACGUGCCAGCCAUGAUGUUUAGUGGGUUUAUGUGCAUUAAUUCACCCAGUCUUUGGAACAGCUCUAAACUUAAUCUUAUUAUACUAUCACUAAUUUGCAAAUCAGAAAACUGAGAUCUGAGGCAAAUUAAGUAAAUUGACUAAAGUUAUACAGACAACACACUGCCUGAUCAUGAACUGAAUUAUCUUUAAAAUUAUUAUUGGUACAUAAUCAAAGCAAAGUAUCACAAAGUUUCAGAAUUAUUCAAUAGAACGUAACACUUCUGGGGAAAUGCAUCUCGCUGAAAUGGAUAUUGUUGCUUUUUAAAAUUCAUAAAUCUGUGAAUGAUUAUAUCUUAUUGCUGGGACGGGAAGGAUUGAGCAUCAAUACCACUCUUAAGUUUUAGUUUUUAUAACUGUAUGGCCUUAGAAACGGUGUAUAAACAAGUACUAUACCUGGUAAUCCUAAUCCUACUGUAGCAACGUUGUAACUGAGCAGGGUCCUGUGAGGCUCCUGGGCACACAAGCCUUUCUGUGUCCUUCAUUUCCCGUUUUUAAGGAAUAAGCUUCAGGCUCCAUGACCUUCCCUGAGCUCCAAAGGGCAGUUGAUAAUCAGGGCAGGAAAGGGAUGCAGAGAUCAGGGAGCAGCAGUCGAGAGACAAUAAUGCAGCCUUGGGGCAGGGCCCUGGUUCCUCCUCAAGGAAUAUACAUAACAAUGUCUUGGAGCCUUUUUGCAGAACUAAAAUCCCCAACCAAGGGAAGAACUGCUUGAUGAAGGAGGACCUCCAGAACCAGUCCUGGGCUGCUAAUUAUUUCUCAGCUUUGAUCCUUAUCUGCAGCCUUAUUUUCCACUCCCCAAAGUAUAAAACCACCCCCUAAUCUCUCCCAAGGAGGGCACAGUCUUUAAGGCAUUGGUCUGCUGUGCCCUCCUUUACCUGGCAAAGCAAUAAAGCUCUCUUUUUCUCCUUCACCUAAAACUCUGUCUCCAAAUUUCCAUUCAGCAAUGGCAGACAGAAGCUGAGUUUCGGCAGCAAAAUUUGAGGGCUCAUCCAGGAUCUGCCUGUGGGCAGGCGGCCCCACAGUGCUCUUGGCUGGAUCAGACACUUUGAGGUUUCUCUCCACACCAGUCCCCCUAUAGGUUAGCAGAGGAUUGGAGGAAUCUUUUAGAGGCCAGACUGCUGAGAGUUUCCUGCCAUGGGGCCGGCCCUGAGCAGAGCUGACUGGCCAUCUUGGAAGUUGGAACUCCAGGGUGGAAGAGUGGUUGGUAGGCAGCUCUCACUGGCCUUGGGGGGACUCCUUCCUUUCCCUCUGCUCCUGCCGACCAGAACUUCCCACUUCAAGAAGACUUUUUGGGAAGAGGAAAAGUAGCAUCUGUGAUUUCGAGACACCUCUGCCAGCAUCUGGAUGGGAUUCAGAAUUGGGAAGGCAAAGUAAUCAUACCGAUAAAAAGAGGGAGGAUUUUGGACCUCCAUGAAGAUACUGAAGUGGGGGGGGGGCAGGGAGAGAGGGUGUUUAUCUGCUUGCCUGGCUGGCACCGUUGCUGUCAUCGUUUCCUUACAUCUUCACCACGACAAGACUGUGUCGUUCGAGCCAUCUUGAGAAGGAGAAGAUGAAAGCUGGGAGGCCGUGAACAUCUCGCCCAGAUUUAUGUUGCUGCAAAAAGAAUUGAAAUUGGGAGGCAGAUUGCAUCCAAAGCUGGAAUAUUUCCAUGUGCUCUUCCCUACACCAUCCUAAAGACGUGGAAGGCAGGGCCUCCCCUCCCUUCCGUGCACCUUCUUGCCCCCGCCCCUGUGGUCUCUGUAUCUGCACUAAGAUGAAUGUGCUCUGGCCUCUCCCACCUCACACAGAGCAAGGAGAAAAGGCAACAGCCUCAAAUCUGCCCAAUAUUCCACGGAAGCUGGUCUUUCUUCUACAUGGACAGUGAUUCCCUUUGAAAAGGCAGCAACAUUGAACUGCCCCAGCUUCCUGGCUAUGCCCACCGAUGAAGGUGACAAUCACGAUGCAGAAAUGGACAGUGGGGAGCGUUGGAUGGAAUAAUUACAAUAGUGAACAAAGAACAGCGGUGAAGACAUUUUACCCAAACAUCUUACUUGCUGUUGGAAGUCUGGCUUGACCCAAUGUGAGGCCCUCUUCUCCAUUCCAGAUCCAGGACACCAUUCCCUGAAGGAGCCAUCAGGGGCCUGUGGGAUAGAGGCCAUUGCCGGGGAUGCCCUGAUAGAGGUCCUUCAACAAAUAACAAGUAAGAGGCUGCAGUUUCUGCAACGAGAGAUGAUGGGGCUGAAAUGUCAGCAGGACAGACCAGGAUGGAAGAUCAAUCACGGAGCGGUUCCCCAUGCUGUGAGCUCCCCCAGGCAAAGGCUGUACCUUUUGUUUUCCUCAGCACCUCUCUUAGAACCCAGAACAAUGUCCAGAGGAGAACAGGCAUUCAGACCCUAUUUCCAUCUCUAUUCUGGGACCAUGUGGAAUCAGAGAUAAAUUAGACCACAUCUUUGUCCUAGGAGUUCACAGUCAAGCUGAGGCGGACAGACUGACAAAUUGAUAAAUGCUUCAACAUUGUCUUCUCUUAUUCAGGCCAAACGUCAUUAGCUGAUCCUCAGAUUCCCUCCCUGAACAGGAAAGCACAGAUCGGAUAGCACGGUGCCAGGCGGGGACCGACCCAUGCUGAACAAGCUCGAAGGUCAUUUCUCUCAUGUAUGUUUAUAAGGAAAACACUGAUCCUCUGAGUAUGUUUCCCUUGUUCACACAGAGGCUCCAAGAAGGUCAAAUAAGUCUCAGAUGAUGCUUAACGAGUACAAAGCCCGAACGAAGUGGCUGGAUGUCCAUUAGGAACAGCACUGUUUCCCUUUUCUGCUCUGGGAAGGAAUCCAACAGGUACUUCCCCUGGGUCAAGCCCUAAUGGCAAAUUUUUCAGCAAAAGAGGAGGUUUUUUUCAAAUUUCUUGUCCAGAUUGCUGAGCUCUUAUCAUAUCGACAGGUUCCCAAAUGGACAGAAAGACUUAGAAAUUCCAGAGUAAUUAUCUUGCUUGAGUGUAGCUAAUAUUGAAAAUGGAAACUUUUCUCAUGGAUUUUUAAAAAUAAUAUCUUAUCAUUCACCCUUCAUUAGGUGUGAAUAACUACUGGCAGGAUGUAUUUUAGCAGAAUGAAUGUUAUCUAGUAAGGUAUCCAGAAAAAGCUGAUGUCACAUGCACACUUGCCUUAACCUCCCACUCUUUCCCCCAGUAUCACCUAUCACAGGCAUUGAGGCUCCAACCAAACUGCUGAUGCUCUUCCCUUAGCUUAGAGUACUUUUCCCAGUGCUGCUUGUUCAAAUCUACUUUUCCAUCAAGAGUAACCUCAAAUUCCACUAUUUCUAAGGAGACUUCUCUCUUUCUCCAGUGAAGAAGGGAUAAUUUCUUCUUUCUUCACAGGUCCUUAAUUAUUCUUCCUAAGCCUCUCUUAAAACACUUAGAUGUCUCAGCUGUCCUAAAAAUCUGAGUUUCUUGAGGCCAGGACUUGCAUCUUAACGUCUUGGUAUCUUUCAUCCUUGGAAGGCAAUAUAGCAUACGGUCACGGGAUCAGGAUCCUGGGUACAAACUGGGUGCUACUACUAACCAGCUGUGUGAUUGUAGGCAAUUCCUGGCAUAUUGUAAUCACUCAACAAAUGUCCCCAUUUACUAUUUAUAUUCUUCAUAACACACAGGACAAUACAUAGUAUCCAUUCUCAGCUCAGUCAAUGUUUACUGAAUGAAUAAAUGAGAAAGCAAAUGAAAAGUAGUUUGUUGUUGAGUGUUUGUUAAGGGAAUGAAUAAUUUAAUAGAUUUGGAAGAAAAUUUGUCAAACAUACUGCUUUUCACUGAACCAAAACAUAUUUCUACAAAUGUUAUGCUUAACCUUCUCCUGGGUCUCUCCUCAAUUCAUUAUUCCUUGAAGCACCCUUCCCUUAGAACCAUCUACCCAUAAACUUAUAUAAUAUUUUAUUUUUGUUUCUUUUAAGAGUGACUACUUUAUGCUAAAGAGCUGCAUUAAGCUUUUGCAGAUUGAAAGAAGAGGAUUUCUUUACUUGUCUGUAGAUCAGGCUGGUUUUCUAUGAGCAGGCAGAGGGAUCUUUGCUACAUUUAUAAUCAUAUAUUUUCUGAGUAGACAAGAUCCAGACGAAAUUCAGGAAGGUUCCUAGGUAUCAUGGCUCUUUUAACUAUAUGAGUCAGCAAUCCCACUCCUGCACAUCUAUUUGAAGAAAACCAUAAUUUGAAAAGAUACAUACACCCUAAUGUUCAUUGCAGCACUAUUUACAAUAGCCAAGAUGUGGGAGCAACCUAAAUGUCCAUUGACAGAGGAAUGGAUAAAGAAGGUGUGGUACACAUAUACAAUGGAAUAUCAGCCAUGAAAAAGAAUGAAACAAUGUCAUUUGCAGCAACAUGGAAGGGCAUAGAGAUUUUCAUACUAAAUGAAGUCAGUCAGACCGUGAAAGACAAACAUCAUAUGAUAUCACUUAUAUGUAGAAUCUAAGAGAAAUAUACAAAUGAACUUAUUUGCAGAACAGAAACAGGUCACAGACUUUGAAAACAAACUUAUGGUUACCAAAGGAGAUGGGUAGGGGGGAGGGAUGGACUGGGGUUUGGGACUGGUGUAUGCCCACUGUUGUAUGUGGAAUGACUGGCCAAUGGGGACCUGCUGAAUAGCACAGAGAACUCUACCCAAUAUUCUGUGAUAAUCUAUAUGAGAAAAGAAUCUGAAAGAGAAUGGAUGUGUGUAUAUUUAUAACUCAAUCACUUUGUUGUACAGCAGAGAUUAUCACAACAUUGUAAAUCAAAUAUACUUCAAUGAAACCUAAAAAAAAA